UACUGGACAAUUUUUAAUUUUUUAAUUUAUAUCAAAAAGACUGCAAUCCUAUACCCAUAGGUAUACCUAAGUCCCAUUAAUCUCAAUGAGACUUAUUUCUGAGUAGAUGUGUACAGGAUUAUGUUGCUAAUGACUAAUAUCAAGAUAUUAAUUUCAUUUCUCAACAAGCCAAAACAGAUCAAAUACAACAGAAAUACUUUUCAUAUAACUUCAGAUCACCUAAAAUUCAAAGGAUCCGUUCUGACAUUAACUUCAUAAAAUGGGAGCUGCAUCAGUGUAAAUCCUGCACCACAGGAUGGACACAUGGAUGGAGAUGGCAGUAUGGCUCCUUCCCAUGCCUAUGAUACCUCAACUUUAGGAAUAGUGAUGAUGGUGUGGGAUGGCACACUGUGGACUCCUCCCAUAUUAGGGCUUCUGAUGCCACUCAAGCAGCAUAGGAAACAGCUGAACUGCAGCAGCUCUCAUGCUACUUAAAUAAACAUCAGAAGGGGCUUAAAGCUUUUCAGUUGAAUUGGUUCACAACUGUAAGCCAUUUAGUAAUCAAGUGAAAUUAAAUGAUACACAUAUGCAUGUAAACCAAUCCUAAAUUCAUUUAGAAUUGCCCACUCCCAACGUAAGCAUGCACUGCACGUUUGGGAAUGGGGAAUUAGGUGGCUGCAUUAUUCUUCACUGAUUAUGACAGCAUUCCAAGGGAAUAGAUGAAGACAGUUAUAUGCAAUUGCAAACUUAUCACUAGUCGUAUACUACCAAUGAUAAUCAGACUUAAGUCCAUUGAUUUCAAUAGGUCUACUCUGACUAACCUUGGAUAUCACCCUAUGAGUUCCCAUAAAAGUGUAAAUUCCACAGGUAGUAAAAUACCAGCCAUAACUGGUUGUAUAUGGUGCUAUUCCUUUACCUCCUGUGAUAUUUGUCAGAGAACUGAUAUUUCAUGCAUCCAGCCAUCAUAAGUACUGUACCGCUUUGACAUGCAUUUAUUGAGGUUAGUUAGAGUUAAAUUGUGACUUUGCAAAUUUACAGAAAGGCACAGAGAACAAAUACAAAGUGAUAGCAUAAGUAAUUAAUUUUGCACAUUGUCAGGGGUAUCCAAGUGAUGUUGAAAAAGUGAUUUUAGAUUCAUACAUGUCCUUAUCAAAAUGAAUAGUCUUAACACAAAAAUUAUGCAUGUUGACCAGGCAGUGUAUUAUCUAAUCUGUUUAUAUUAUCCAGUUUUAUAUAUUUACUGAUAUUAUUUGGAGACUAUGCAUACUGUGCAGGCAUUUUACAAAACCCCCUAUUUACACUGCCUAUUUAAACACAUUCUUUAUGCCUUCAUGUGAGUGUGCAAAAUUGCAUAUUUAUGCAAAUUAUUCACUGAAUUUAUAUUAACCACAAUAUAUACACACUUGACAGGAAUUAACAAUGUUUUCUAAGUAUAUACUGGUGCUACAAUUUCUGUCAAAACAAACUGUUAUAUAUAGAACCUUCUGGGUUUAGGUAUUAAUGAAAUCAUUUACCUAUGGUAUGGAGCAUCUUUUGUUUCUAUAGAAAGUUAGACUGAAGAUGCAAUUUACUCAAAGUAGGUUCUUCUGCCAUCAUUGUGCAUUUGGGUAUUAGAGGAAGGAGUUUCUAUCCAAAUUUCAAGCACCGGAUGAAAGAUCUUAGUUCUUUGUCAUAGUCUGUCUAUACCCUAUUUCGUAUCAAUUACCAAUGAAUGAAAGGUACUUUGCAGAUAUUUUAACAGAGAUUUUGGUGGACCAUGGCCAGAGCUUGCUGCUGCCAGCACAGUUUAGAUUAUGAGUGGCUGCUAUUUUACUUCAAGUGGCUAUAAUAUAAGCAUAGAAAGAGAUACUUAAAUGGGUCUGAGCAAAGAGCUACUGCCUCCUUUAAGUGGGGCAGUCUGGGGCAUGGUAGGGGAAAGGGGAAAAGCUUUAGUUCCAUAAAAUGUCCUUUCUUUUCCCUUUGUAUUGGGCUUACAUGUUGGAUACAAUCACUGCACUGCCGAUGGAAGCUUUACAGAAGCUAAAGACUGGGUUGUUUUCUAGAAGGGGAAAAAGCCAACCAUCACUCUUUUGAGUUUGUUCACUCCUGCAGCUCGACAACUGUCUACACUGCAGACUAAAGACAUUUAUUGCAAGUACCAAGACUUCCAUCUUCCCCCAUCACCCUUGGUCAUUCUACCAGGCCGGUUAUAUUGGAUUCCCCCCCCCUUCCUUAUUCUGUAUGAUUUAGAUUAUGGGAGGAAAGCUGGGCUUAAUGAUCCAGAGCUGGAGUUCCCUUAGCCCAAGAACUUUUCUGCAUCGUCUGCCUCUUCAAGUGAACAUGUAUGAUGAAGAUGUUGAUGAUUACAAUGAUGCAGAUGUUGCUGCUACUGCAAGGGAUCCAACCUGUUUUUAUUACCCCACCCCCCACUGCACCGGAGUCUGAAGGGACAGCCAAAGGAGCACUAUGUACAGGACCACAUCUAUUUCUGCUUUGUUUUCUAACCCUAGUCCCACCCCGUUGAUGACUAUGACAACAACAAAAAGGGCAAAUGCAUUUUUUACAUUUCUUGAUAAUUUCUAAAGCAAUGUAUCAUUGCUUUCUUUAGACUGAUGCCAAUAUAAGAGUUGUAUGGGUCUCAGCCAGGCUUCUGUGUCUUUUUCUGACUGAAGAGUUUGAGAUCAUUCUGUGAAACAUUCUUACUUAAAGGCAAGUUACGAUUUGACAACCAUGGAGACAACUUUUCAAGAAAACACAGCUCGCUAACUGUUCACUUGCUGAGAUUAUUCUCUUAGUAACAAUUGCAAUUUGUGCGCUUCUUAAUAACAUUUAAAAAUAAACUCAUCCUUUACAGGAAGAGCCCACAUUUGAACCAAAUUUGGUAUAAUUGUACAUCGAUUUGUAUUAAACAUUACAGUUCUGAUAUAAUAUAAAUGGAAUGGAAUAUGAAUCAAGGAACUGUGAGGUUGGAUAGAUGAAUGGACAGUUGUGUCCAAUUAAUCUCUAGAAGAUUAAUCAAAAUCCUGGGUUGGGUUCUGACUUCACACUACAAAGAGAGGGUUGUUUUAUAUGUUACAGUUUCUUACAUGGAAAUUAUUUGGGCAAAACUGUUCUUUACCUGAUAAAAGAUCAAAACAGUAACAUUUGCCAGGCCAUCAAAAUUCUAACACAGAAAAAGAAAAAAUGUGAGAUUUAAUAACAGAUAUAUAUAUGAAGAGAACUAUGCCAUGUAUACAUGAGAUUCUUAAUCAUAUUCAACUUAACAAGCAUGGGAAAUUAACUGAUUUGAAGCUAGUGAGACCACACAAAGAGAACUGAAAUUAAUAGAAUAUAUGGCUGAAAGGAACCUCCUUUGUCCUCCAGCUUAAUAUUGCUAAUUUCACAUAAGUAAAUGGGGGGAGGCGGGCAGCAAAGGGAUAAGGAAUACCAUAUGACAUUUUUACUAAGUAGACUGGAUCACACAAGGAUAAAGGCCCUGAGAUAGUAGUGACUACAUAAGAAAAAAUGUGACUCCAGAAUAGAGAGACAGGGUUGUCUCAUUUAUUGUAGUUUCCUAGGUGGAGACUGGUCCUUUACUUGCAAUGAAGUGUGGGAUUUAAUCAGAUCCACACCAUGUAUUAACAAUAUGCAGUUCAUACAGGUAUACGAUAUACAUUCCAUGCAGGAAGUACUAUCCUAAAUAUUGAAGGCCUAUUAGGACUUGGGGACGGGGAAGAAUUCAGACUCCUUUGUCCGCUAGAACUUAUUGCUGCUGAGAGGACAGAAAUGGUUGAGGGACAGUGGUGGGAAUGGCCUCCAACCAGAGUGGUACAACAGGAGGAUAGUGCUUUAACCUAUACAUACAUACUCAGCAGCCACAAACUUGAGAACUAUAAUACCUGGUGGGGUGGGGGUGGGGUUUGUUCAGCUAGACCUAAACCUCAGCAGUACUUUGCAGGGAUAGAAGCAUUAUCCUGACAUGAGUCAGGGGACCUUGAACUUAUUUCAGAUUGUUCAGGCCUGGGGGCUGCCAUCACCAUCCUGAAUUCUGAGUGCUAUUGCAUUGUAAAUCAAUGCAGAUAUGUUUUGGAAUUGCCACAGCUCCCAAACUGAAAACUAUAGCAGGGGAGGGAUAUUUUUUUAAAUCCCUAUUCCCUGUGUUGUCUGGGAGAGCUCCUCUUUUUCCUUGUUGAAAAGCCAAUCCAUCCCUCCAGCGUUCAUCACUGUCAGAGAUUUUAUACACGUCUUAACGUACCAUUAUUACAGGAGAGCUUUGCUCAUAUGUAGUUCUUGUUGGAAGAUGGGUUCUUUUCUGUCCCUUCCCCUUUUCUUUUUUACAAAAUAAUAUUUUUUCUGAAUACCUGGGGAAUGCACAGAAACCCUUACUUUGCCCAUGGGUGCCCCAGUUUUAUGUGCUAUGUGUCAGAUUGCCGUUAGGAGGAACAAGUGGGACCUGGCAGGACCUGUAAAAAAUACUGUCGUAUACCUUCACAGUUUGGGUUCCAGCCAGCCCCUCCUUCCAAGCAGGGCAUUCCACUCCUCCAUCUUGUUCUCCAUUUUCCUUUUCCAGCUAUCACACAAUAUUCUAUGGCUAUUGCGCAUGUUCAGUCCUCAUUGUUCGGGGGGGGGGGGGGCUUUGUGUGUUUUUGUUUUUAAAGAAGCCUUUUUAUACUUCUGCAAACAUUAGGGGUCCUCCAAGCAUGCUGCGACAUCCAGAGACAUUCCGGACAAAACACUCACUACAUAAGUUUAGUAUUAGAAGGAGUGUUAAUGAUGAAACAGCCAUCAGUGAUAUUAUUCUGCAAUUAUUUUAUCAGAAAAUUUUCUCUCUGGUAUCCUAGCUGAAGUCCACUGGUGACAGAUGGUUCAAUCAAUCAGUCUUCUGCCCAAACUCCAUUUAAUGUGAGGAUUUGUGCAAGGGGGGGCGGGCGGAAUCCUGAUUAAUUGUGCUGUACAUAUUUGGGGCAUAUAUCCUUGAGCUACAUUUUAUACUAUCAGAAAGAGAUAUGAAAUAAGAGGAAAUAAACCCAGUUUGAUCUUAGUUCAUCUCAGUUUCUGAAAGUAUGAAUUUCAACACAGUUCCUGUAUUAUUGCCUUGUAGUGGUGUACGUAUUAUUGUAGCAUCUUGUAUUCACCACUGACAGAGAUAGUAUAAUACCAUUGGUAUCCUAUCGGUCUGAAUGUAAUACUUUUCUUAUGCUCUUAAACAAAUCAUUUAGGGAUCUACUUUUAGUGGACUAUGCUAAUCUAUAUUAACCUUUAGCAUCAUAAGUAAUUUCUUUAAUUAUUUAUGGCCUGCUUUUCAUAAACUAUUUUCUAAAGUCUGCUUACAAAGUAAGCCGUCACAUAAAAAACAAAAACAAUUCUGUGUUUUCAUGAACAGUAAAAUGAACACAGAAGCUGCUCUAGGCAUAUUAUCUGGCUCAUGAUCACCAAUUACUUAAUAAGAAUUCAUGUCAGUAUCUUGCACAUUGGUAGAGAAGGUAGUUUAUGUGCUGUGAAAAUUUUAAAAAUCCCAAAAUUACCACCUCAGGGUUGUUGUAGGUCACAAUGUUACAGUGACGGGAGAAACCACAUCAGACAAAAUCCUCCUUCUGUGCCACUCUUGUUAGUGUCCUAGCAGCUUAUGUCCUCUUGGCUCCCUGGUCACAGCCUCUAACCCUCUUAUCCUCCCUUUGCCUAUCCACCUCCUUCCUGCACUGAGCCCCCUGGGAGGCUUUGCCUCAGUACCCCUUUCUCCAACUCAGCCCACCUUUCUCCAUCUUUGCAUCACACAAGCUUCCUCAGGUUCCUAUUUAUCCCAAAUGGAUCAUUCCACAUCAAAUCAAUGCAAAAUAACCAAGGGUUUUCUCACCCACCAUUUCAGAUUUUGAUGAAACUUGGUGUACACCCUUCACUUAUGAUUGAAAGAAACCCCCUUAAUUUUUUCCCCUCUAUCUCAAACGGUUUUAUUUUUAAAGCACUUCAAAGUUUCGUUAAAUCUGCAUUGUCUGUCCCUCUUGAGACUCUCGGCACAAGAUACCCUUGUGUACAUUCUGGGGUUUUUUUCCCUCCAUAAACAAUUAUCAGAUCUCUUUGAAAUUUUACACAGAGCUCAAUAAAAUGAUGAGGAUUUCAGAAAAAAAUACACCAGCACUCAAAAGAUUUUAUAAAUGCCUACAAAAAAUUAUAAAUGCACUUGUAGCCUAGUUUUUUUAUGGAAAAACUAGGUUUAGAAAACCUGAAUUUACAGCAUGUGGGCAUGAUGUAACCAAAAGUUUUUGAUGUUGAAAAUUAUUGCAAAGACAUGCUCUUUCUUGACAAAGAAUGAAAUUUGUGAUUUUUUAUUCCUUGUAAUGAAAAUUUUACGUUUUUUGGACAUCGUGGGGGAAAAUGGCUACUGGGUAGCCAUUUUGUACAACUUUCCUACAAUCCAUAGCUGUAAUAGAAAACAUUAAUGAAACAAAGUUGUUCAUCUUAAAAAUUAAAAUAAUAUUAUUAUAGGUUUUUUUCAAAAGUGCAGAUUUGUUUUAAUUUUGGGAUUUUGAAGUUAUGAAAAUUGGCUAUCAGGAAUAU
This is a non-coding RNA of Podarcis lilfordi (Lilford's wall lizard), 6492 nucleotides long. The record is from the annotation of a GenBank genome assembly. Lineage: Eukaryota; Metazoa; Chordata; Lepidosauria; Squamata; Lacertidae.